UAGCGCCUCUGUCUCCACCCACUUGGCCGCCGAGUGAGGGCCUCGGGGUGACCC
RNAcentral lists this microRNA precursor (54 nucleotides) under Oryza longistaminata (longstamen rice). Its description in RNAcentral is "pre miRNA MIR2907". It matches the Rfam family "MIR2907 microRNA precursor family". Lineage: Eukaryota; Viridiplantae; Streptophyta; Magnoliopsida; Poales; Poaceae. The record is from RNAcentral.